Molecule: long non-coding RNA, 604 nt
Filed under: Homo sapiens (human)
Lineage: Eukaryota; Metazoa; Chordata; Mammalia; Primates; Hominidae
Description: HSALNT0345254
Source: RNAcentral
AGGUCACCGAGAUAGCACCGGCUCUCUGGAGACAGGCGUGACCCCCAGGCCAGUCACUAGGACCAACAGAUGUCCCAAGGAAGACACCGGCCAUGACUGCAUCCUGGAACCAUAUCAAACUGGCAGCACUUACUUCUCUGGACUUGUUUUUGUUUCACCAAAUUUGCUGGAUCUGUUGGCAAGUUUGAGUGAACAGUCUCAGACUGCAAAGCAAGUCAGCACUACCACAGAGGGAAUCCCAAACUCGCUGCUGAGAACAGAACAGCUGUGCCCUCGCCGACUGGGACCCGAGUGACAUCUACUGGAGCAAGCAGGGGCUGCACGUGAGCAGGCAGCCAUUCGGUCACUCCCCGUCAUUCCAACACAAUCGAAUUUGUGUAGAAAAUUUACAUGCAUCAUAGGCUAUUUAUGAAUAUAUGCACACGUAGAAAGAGGAAAAAUACGCUUGGAAAUGGUAAACAUAACUUCAAGAUAGUAGUUACCCUUGGGUUCGGUAGGGGUGAAGGAGUGGUAAGGGUUUUAGUUUUAUCUUUAACCAUUUCUUUUUUCACUUACUUAUUUGUAGAGAUGGGAGUCUCACUAUGUUGCCCAGGGUAGUCCUGGU